This 1938-nucleotide ribosomal RNA is filed under the name Triticum aestivum (bread wheat). Its description in RNAcentral is "partial small subunit ribosomal RNA". The record is from RNAcentral. Lineage: Eukaryota; Viridiplantae; Streptophyta; Magnoliopsida; Poales; Poaceae.
AUGAGAUCGCUGCCCAUUGUAGUUUUAUCCCUCCUGAUUCUUGUCCUUGCUGCCCAUGUAUCCCAAGCCGAUGACAAGGGCUCUCCAAGCGGAAAUGGGAAGGGUUCCCAUGAAGGUGACGGUGAUGAUCAUAAAUCAAAUGGCGUAGGGCCGGUGAAAAAGCCAAAAUGCCAUAAGCCCGGACGUGGUCCGAAAAACCAUGACAAUGAUGGUCGAGGACCACCGGAAAAGGAUUGCGAUGAUGAAGAAACAACACCGUCAUCACCGGGGCCUUCCCCAGACCAAGGUAACGGUUCGCCAUCACCACCGCCAUCCCCUUCUUAUUCUCCACCCAUGAAUACCCAGUCACCUCCACCUCCAUUAGAAACUAGUCCUACCACACCUCCACCCUACCAACCCAGCAAUCAAUCCCCUCCGCCACCAUCAUCAUCAAGCCCACCACCAACACCUCCAUCUAGCCCCCCUGUUACACCUCCAACCUACGAACCUAAUGAUCAAUCGCCACCGCCUCCAAUGAAUCCUCCACCCAUUACCCCACCACCUCCAUCUAGUCCACCUGUGGCACCUCCAAUGAGCCCGACUAAUCAGCCUCCUCCACCUCCCCCUGUAACGCCUCCAUCCUACGAACCGAACGAUCAAUCGCCACCGCCUCCAUUGAGUCCUUCGACCAUUCCCCCACCACCUCCAACUAGCCCUCCUGCAGUACCUCCAAUGAACCCAACUAAUGAACAACCUCCUCCACCAUCGUCAUCAUCUAGCCGCCCACCAAUAGCUCCAACUACUCAACCAUCUCCCUCUAGCCCACCUGCUACACCUCCAACAGACUCAACUGAUGAGGAAACUCCUACAUCACCACCAUCAUCUAGUCCACCAGUAACUCUAUUAAGUCCUCCACCACCAUCAUCGAGUACACCACCGGCUCCAUACAUUGCCACACCACCUUUGUCUAGUCCCCCUGCUACACCUCCAACAUACCAAGCUAACGACCAGUCCCCUCCACCUCCACCAUCAUAUACAUCUAGUCCACCACUAGCUCCAUCAAGUCCUCCACCACCAUCAUCUAGUCCACCAGUAGCUCUAUCAAGUCCUCCACCACCAUCAUCAAGUACACCACCGGCUCCAUCCAUUGCCAUGCCACCUUUGUCUAGCCCCCCUGCUACACCUCCAACGUACCAAGCUGAUGACCAGUCCCCUCCACCUCCACCAUCAUACAAUCCACCACCGACAGCUUUAGCUAGUCCUCCACCACCAUCAUUGAGUCCACCAGCAAUAGCACCAACCACUAGCGCACCUCCUCCAUCUACUUCCCCAUCGCCUAUGUCUAGUCCACCAGCAACACCUCCGACCAACCAAGGUAACCACCCACCGCCAUCAUCACCAUUAAGUCCGCCUACCACACCUCCGACGUACCAAGUUAACCAACCACCGCCGCCACCACAAUUUAGUGCUCCUGCCACACCUCCGACCUAUCAAGGUAAUGCCCAACCACCGGCAUCGGCAACAACACCGCCACUUGGUGCCCCUUCUGGCAAUGGAUGGGUGCAAGUUCAAAACUUUCAUGACGCCAUGUACUGGCAAAUCGGGCGCUUUGUGGUGUACAAGUUGGUAAACAAGAAGGACAACUCCCUUGUGGAUGUGCUCUAUGUGAGCAUGCAACCUGCAGGAAAGGGCAACAACUACUUUCUUGUGAUAAAAGUAGCAGAUGAAUAUAAGAAGGUCGGCAAGUAUCAUGUGCUCCUAUGGGGUGUGCCUGGGUCAGCAGAUGAAGCAUGGAAACAUACGACAGGCAAAUCUUUACAAACACCAAAAAGGAAGCUUCCCCUGCAACAGAGGUUACCAAAUAGCACGAAGCAAGCAGGACCAGAAGAUGUAACGCAUUACCUCCGAAAGAUGCAUGGUUUCAGCCGUGAAUGGUUGGCUCAGAUUCUUGCUGAGUGA